This is a non-coding RNA of Ailuropoda melanoleuca (giant panda), 103 nucleotides long. The record is from Rfam. Lineage: Eukaryota; Metazoa; Chordata; Mammalia; Carnivora; Ursidae.
GUCUACGGCCAUACCACCCUGAAUGCGUCAGAUCUCGUCUGAUAUCGGAAGCUAAGCAGGGUCAGGCCUAGUUAGUACUUGAUGGGAGAACAGGUCUUAUCUC